Molecule: non-coding RNA, 128 nt
Organism: Podarcis lilfordi (Lilford's wall lizard)
Lineage: Eukaryota; Metazoa; Chordata; Lepidosauria; Squamata; Lacertidae
Source: the annotation of a GenBank genome assembly
GUGGAGUUGCCAGUAUAUGUAUGUUUCUCUCUCUCUCUCUCUCUCUCUCUCUCUGUGUGUGUGUGUGUGUGUGAGAGAGAGAGAGAGAGAGAGAGAGAUCUAACAAGAAAGCAUGUAUAAUACAGCUG